Molecule: long non-coding RNA, 1154 nt
Organism: Stegodyphus dumicola
Lineage: Eukaryota; Metazoa; Arthropoda; Arachnida; Araneae; Eresidae
Source: RefSeq, a predicted model, not a curated record
GGCAAAAAGAUUUCGCCAGUGCAAAGCAAAAUAUGAAACUACUUCAAACUGCAGAAAGCGAAAUGUGAAUGUGUAUAGUUGGUAACGUGCUGUUCAGGUUAUUUUCUGAAAUUUGAAUUAAUAUUUAUUUAUAGAAGUAACCAAAAGAGAAAUGUAUUCCUAAGAUUACAUUUGAGAUAGUAUAUUAUAGCUUUGUUCUGAGUGCAUGGAAAAUCGCUGACGAAAUUUCUUUUUAAAUUCCUGGGUGUGGUAAAAUGAGCGAGCGUCAUUCUAAUAAAAUCUCCUGUAAUGUAUAUGCAAAGAACAUUCUUUCCAGUCACGAACUUGAACUGUACGAGUUAUGCCGGAUGAGUGGUCUUUCUAUCGAUCCAGCUGUGUUUAAAAUUUUGGUCGAUCUUCUGAAGAUGGAUGUGCAGGCAGCUGCAAUUUUCGAUGUCUUGCAGAGCAUAUCUACACAAGUUUCAAAACCUCUUCCAUCACAGAGAAAAUCGCAGAAUAGUUCUACAACUUAUUUAGCCACCAAGAAGAAACCUCCAGUAGCUGCUAAACCCAAAAUGAUCAAAGGAGAUCAUUCCGAUGUUUGAUCUUUAGAUGUAAAUAUUUUAUUUUUAUUUGUAUCUUCGAAAAUGUUUUUUUAAAAAAGGUUAUUUUUUUUGUUAAAAGUUAUAUGUACUUAACAGAAGGAAAUUUUGUUAUUUUUUUUAGUAAAUUUUGUUAUAUAAAAAAUGAUGUGAAUGUUAUUGUUCGUAAAUAACACUGCAUUUCCUCAUGUAUCUCACCGCAACUUUUUAAAUUUAUAAAAUGUUAGCAUAAUUUUCCCCUUCUUCAGUGCGAUCAGAGAGCAAGUACUCCUAAAAUUUUAAAUAUAUUUAUUCACGUAUUGAUUGUUUUUGGUUUAAUAACAAAGACAAACCUUCCUCCAAUUAUUUAUGAAUGAUUUGCUAAUCCUUAGCAGAGGCAACAAUAAGAACAGGCGAGAUUGAAGUUACAGGAAAUUAGAAACAUUGUAUGUUAAUGUGCAUUCUUAUUGAAAUGUAGGUUUCUUUUGAAGAUAUAAAUGUUACAAUAAUUACCAGCAAUUUAUGCAUGACUCCUUUCCGUUUAUUGCACUCUUAUUGUAACCACAUCUUUUGGAAUUAAAAAUAUUCACAUAA